RNAcentral lists this ribosomal RNA (157 nucleotides) under uncultured bacterium. Its description in RNAcentral is "partial 16S ribosomal RNA". It matches the Rfam family "Bacterial small subunit ribosomal RNA", at positions 355 to 509 of the family's 1533-position model. The record is from RNAcentral.
UGAGGAAUAUUGGUCAAUGGCCGGGAGGCUGAACCAGCCAAGUCGCGUGAGGGAAGACGGUCCUAUGGAUUGUAAACCUCUUUUGUCAGGGAGCAAAAACUGCCACGUGUGGCAGGAUGAGAGUACCUGAAGAAAAAGCAUCGGCUAACUCCGUGCC